AAAAAAAGGCAAAGCGGUUGAAAGACCGUGACGCAAAACUAAAGGGCCUAAACUAAAGGGAUGGCAGCCAGUUGC
RNAcentral lists this non-coding RNA (75 nucleotides) under bovine gut metagenome. RNAcentral's name for it is "Cyclic di-GMP-I riboswitch". It matches the Rfam family "c-di-GMP-I riboswitch aptamer", at positions 6 to 83 of the family's 87-position model. From Rfam's summary of the family: GEMM was predicted in a large-scale screen for bacterial structured RNA regulatory elements. Genes associated with GEMM are involved in a diverse array of functions, including chemotaxis regulation, signal transduction, secretion and chitin. The record is from RNAcentral.